RNAcentral lists this ribosomal RNA (492 nucleotides) under uncultured bacterium. RNAcentral describes it as "partial 16S ribosomal RNA". It matches the Rfam family "Bacterial small subunit ribosomal RNA", at positions 29 to 507 of the family's 1533-position model. The record is from RNAcentral.
AGUGAACGCUGGCGGUAUGCCUAACACAUGCAAGUCGAACGGCAGCACAGUAAGAGCUUGCUCUUACGGGUGGCGAGUGGCGGACGGGUGAGGAAUACAUCGGAAUCUACUUUUUCGUGGGGGAUAACGUAGGGAAACUUACGCUAAUACCGCAUACGACCUACGGGUGAAAUCAGGGGAGCUUCGGACCUUGCGCGAUUGAAUGAGCCGAUGUCGGAUUAGCUAGUUGGCGGGGUAAAGGCCCACCAAGGCGACGAUCCGUAGCUGGUCUGAGAGGAUGAUCAGCCACACUGGAACUGAGACACGGUCCAGACUCCUACGGGAGGCAGCAGUGGGGAAUAUUGGACAAUGGGCGCAAGCCUGAUCCAGCCAUACCGCGUGGGUGAAGAAGGCCUUCGGGUUGUAAAGCCCUUUUGUUGGGAAAGAAAAGCAGCAGGUUAAUACCCCGCUGUUCUGACGGUACCCAAAGAAUAAGCACCGGCUAACUUCGUG